CAACUCACGCCCUGACCAACCUAAAACAAAGACAUAACAAAAUAACUAAGGUCAGAACCAAGCUAUAUGGUAUCGAUACAAUGUGCAGUUGGGUGCCAGACUGAUCACCUGGUUAUGAAUGGAUGCCGGGACCUACCAGUAGGAGCAAAGGGUCAAUCAACACCACCUCUGAAGAUUGCCUGCUGCAAUUGUUUGAGAGAUGUCCAGUUUUCAACUGAACCUGCAGUAUAGAGAAUACCAGCAAGGGGGCCCUUCUCAGCAUCAUGUAGACAUG
Long non-coding RNA from Oncorhynchus tshawytscha (Chinook salmon), 274 nucleotides. RefSeq lists it as uncharacterized. NCBI's taxonomy places the organism in Eukaryota, Metazoa, Chordata, Actinopteri, Salmoniformes, Salmonidae. The transcript has 3 exons. The record is from RefSeq and is a predicted model, not a curated record.